RNAcentral lists this ribosomal RNA (192 nucleotides) under uncultured bacterium. Its description in RNAcentral is "partial 16S ribosomal RNA". It matches the Rfam family "Bacterial small subunit ribosomal RNA", at positions 1309 to 1500 of the family's 1533-position model. The record is from RNAcentral.
AACCCGACUACAUGAAGCUGGAAUCGCUAGUAAUCGCAGGUCAGCAUACUGCGGUGAAUACGUUCCCGGGUCUUGUACACACCGCCCGUCACACCAUGGGAGCCGGAAAUGCCCGAAGCCAGUGACCCAACCUUAGGGAGGGAGCUGUCGAAGGUGGAGCCGGUAACUGGGGUGAAGUCGUAACAAGGUACC